GACGAACGCUGGCGGCGUGCCUAACACAUGCAAGUCGAGCGGAGGUACUUGAGGAGUAAUCUGAGGGUACUUUAGCGGCGGACGGGUGAGUAACGCGUGAGCAACCUGCCUUUCACAGGGGGAUAAGGCGGCGAAAGCCGCUCUAAUACCGCAUGAGACCACGGGGAUGAUAUUCCAGGGGUCAAAGGAGCAAUCCGGUGAGAGAUGGGCUCGCGUCCGAUUAGGUAGUUGGUGAGGUAACGGCCCACCAAGCCAAUGAUCGGUAGCCGGCCUGAGAGGGUGAAACGGCCACAUUGGAACUGAGGGACGGUCCAAACUCCUACGGGAGGCAGCAGUGGGGAAUAUUGGGCAAUGGGGGAAACCCUGACCCAGCAACGCCGCGUGAGGGAAGAAGGUUUUCGGAUUGUAAACCUCUGUUCUUGGAGAAGAGAAGAAGACGGUAUCCAAGGAGGAAGCCCCGGCUAACUACGUG
Molecule: ribosomal RNA, 472 nt
Filed under: uncultured bacterium
Lineage: Bacteria
Description: bacterial SSU rRNA
Rfam family: Bacterial small subunit ribosomal RNA
Source: RNAcentral